RNAcentral lists this unclassified non-coding RNA (528 nucleotides) under Hevea brasiliensis (rubber tree). Lineage: Eukaryota; Viridiplantae; Streptophyta; Magnoliopsida; Malpighiales; Euphorbiaceae. The record is from RNAcentral.
GUUUGAUGUUAAAAAUACUUUUUUUGCAUGGAGAUUCAAAAGAUGAGAUAUACAUGGAGAUUCCUCCAAGAUUUGAGAAUGAAAAAACCAAGGGAAAAGCCUGUAAAUUGAAGGAGGCAUUAUAUGGUUUGAAGCAGUCACCAAGAGCAUGGUUUAACAUAUUCAAUAAAGGCAUGAUUUCCUUUGGUUUCUAUCAAAGCAAUAUCGAUCAUACUCUAUUUAUAAAACAUCAUAGAAGUAAGAUUACACUGCUUAUUAUCUAUGUUGAUGACAUAGUCGUGACAAAAGAUGAUAAGGAAUAGAUUGUCCAUUUUAAGGAACGAUUGGCUCAGGAAUUUGAGAUUAAGGACUUAGGUAAGUUGAGGUACUUCCUUAGAAUACAAAUUCCCAGAUCAGACAAAGAGAUUUUCAUGUCUCAAAGCAAGUACAUAUUGGAUCUCCUCGAUGAGAUUUGCACACUGAGCUGUAAACAAGUAGAAUCUCCUCUUGAAACUAAUCACAAGCUACACCAAAAUCCCAGCUGUCUGA